UGUGACCUCAAAUCAGGUAGGACUACCCGCUGAACUUAA
Molecule: ribosomal RNA, 39 nt
Filed under: Thaxterogaster croceocoeruleus
Lineage: Eukaryota; Fungi; Basidiomycota; Agaricomycetes; Agaricales; Cortinariaceae
Also listed under: 8 other names
Description: Cortinarius croceocaeruleus partial 28S ribosomal RNA
Source: RNAcentral